GCGCGAAAACUUUGCAAUGUGCGAAAGCACGACAAGGUUAAUCCGAGUGGUUCCUGCUAAAGGAAUCUUUUGUCGGUCACAAAACCACCGACGAAUAAGGGGUGGGCAAGUUCUGGUGUCAGCCGCCGCGGUAAAACCAGCACCUCAAGUGGUCAGGGGGAUUAUUGGGCCUAAAGCAUCCGUAGCCGGCUGUGCCAGUCUUCGGUUAAAUCCAUGUGCUCAACGCAUGGGCUGCCGGAGAUACUGCACAGCUAGGGAGUGGGAGAGGUAGACGGUACUUGGUAGGAAGGGGUAAAAUCCUUUAAUCUACUGAUGACCACCUGUGGCGAAGGCGGUCUACUAGAACACGUUCGACGGUGAGGGAUGAAAGCUGGGGGAGCAAACCGGAUUAGAUACCCGGGUAGUCCCAGCUGUAAACAAUGCAAACUCAGUGAUGCACUGGCUUGUGGCCAGUGCAGUGCCGCAGGGAAGCCGUUAAGUUUGCCGCCUGGGAAGUACGUACGCAAGUAUGAAACUUAA
Molecule: ribosomal RNA, 519 nt
Filed under: uncultured archaeon
Lineage: Archaea
Description: bacterial SSU rRNA
Rfam family: Archaeal small subunit ribosomal RNA
Source: RNAcentral